AUGAGCAUUGUGGCAUCUCUCCAGAGAGGCUAAGGGAGGAACAAAGACUUAGGCAGGAGGCAGAACAGGAGGCUGUUCAACAGAGGAUGAGCGCGAUGUUCCAGUACAUGCAAAGUAUUGGAGCAGCUGUAGGUCAACCUCCUCCACCUGAGUUAUUCCAACCUAUACAACCUGCUGUCAACACUCCUAAUCAAUCGGCGGCGUCAAACGAUCCACCUCCUAGGCUACAAGGAGGAUCGG
Long non-coding RNA from Sorghum bicolor (sorghum), 240 nucleotides. RefSeq lists it as uncharacterized. The record is from RefSeq and is a predicted model, not a curated record. NCBI's taxonomy places the organism in Eukaryota, Viridiplantae, Streptophyta, Magnoliopsida, Poales, Poaceae. The transcript is spliced from 3 exons.